This is a small RNA of Rhodopirellula maiorica SM1, 47 nucleotides long. It matches the Rfam family "Acido-Lenti-1 RNA". Lineage: Bacteria; Pseudomonadati; Planctomycetota; Planctomycetia; Pirellulales; Pirellulaceae. The record is from Rfam.
CCCACGGCUCACGCCGUGGGCUACAUCCUGACGUCCCUAUCGGGACU